RNAcentral lists this long non-coding RNA (1428 nucleotides) under Nicotiana benthamiana. Its description in RNAcentral is "long non-coding RNA (NBEN_LNC038990)". The record is from RNAcentral. Lineage: Eukaryota; Viridiplantae; Streptophyta; Magnoliopsida; Solanales; Solanaceae.
GCCUUUCUUCUUUAGUCUCCUCAACAUUAAAAACUCCUUCGCCAUUUUUGAGCUCACCACUCCCAUUGCUUAAUUACUUCUCCAAACCAAAAUUUUCAGGAAUACUCUCAAACUUGAUCACCAAUUUCUCAGUUUUGUUCUUGUUUUCUUUCUCCAGGGUUUGUCUCUUGAUCAGAAAAAAAAGACUGCACUGCGCCAGCUGUGUGAGUUAUAUAUUUCAUCUAAAAUUGUAUCUUUAUUUCCGAUCAUGUUCUAACUGUGAUUUGUUUGAUUUUGUUUUCAGUUUCAAUAUUUUUGAGCUUUUUGGCAAUCAGAAUUAAUACUUUUUCUUCUUUGUUUUUUGUCUUUCUUUCGGUUGUUUGACAUCUGUUCUUUUUUUUUAUUCGAUAAUUUCUUUGAAUCCCUCGUUUUUUCCAUCUCUUAUAUUUCAGUCUGUUGCUGUCUAUCUUUUGUAACAGUUUUGGGAAAUUGUCGAUGGUUUGGCGUGUCUGCGGUGCGAACGAAAAUAUUUUCUCAAAAAUGAUUUUUAAAUUUUCAUGUUCGACUGAUUUAAUUUUUUUUUCCCAGGAUCUCAUUUUCAUUUAAUUGGUAAAAAGUAUUUUCUUUUCAAGUGAAGAAAAAUAAUUUCUAAAACUUUUUUUUCCAUAUUUCAUAUCCUAUUCUCCAACCCUACUAACUCAGCUCACUCUAAAUAAAAAUAUUAUUGAUAAUAUUUUUUUUUGUUAUAAAUAGAGUACUUUUUCUAUUAUAACAAAUGAGUAUUUUUCUUUUUAUGUAUAAAAAAUAUUUUUUUAUGAUGUAAAAAAUAGUAUUUUUUUCAUUUUAACAAAAUGAAUACUUUAUUUUCGCAAUGUAGACAGAGUACUUCUUUUUUUAUUUCUUUUUAGUUAUCGAGUAUAAAUUUUAAUGUUAUUUUUAAGUAAAAAGUAAAGCAACAAAUUAGUUUUUUUGUGUUUGUGUGAAUUUUUAAUAAGAAUAAUUAAAUUUUUGAAUUUGGAGGAGGAGGGGGAGCACAGAAACAUAGGGACUUGGGGGAAGAGAAAUUUUUUAUUUUGUAUCUUAUGUAACUGAUACUAUUUGAAUGAGACAACCUUUUUGUCUCACAAUCUUGUGAAUUCAAAAGUGUAAGAUUGAGGUCCACAUAUUUAUAAGUCAAAAGGAGCCUUAUACAACUCGUGUCAGUUGUAUGAGACACAAAAUAAAACUUCUCAGGGAAGAGGGUGAAGAGCUAAGGAGAGUAGCAUAAAAAUUAUUAUUCGAAAAAAUAUUUUCUACUCUCGAACCAAACAUUAAAAAAUAUUUUUCGGAAAAUUUUUUCACUUGCCAAUCAAACAAGAAAAAUAAGUGAUAAAAUCACUCAUUUUUCAUAAAACUGUUAUGAAAUAAUAUAAAAGACAAGAACAAUAAUGCAAGAACAAGAGCAAUAGA